ACAUGCAAGUCGAACGAGAAAGUGGAGCAAUCCAUGAGUACAGUGGCGUACGGGUGAGUAACACGUGGGUGAUCUACCUCUUAGUGAGGAAUAACCCUGGGAAACCGGGGCUAAUACCGCAUAAGCCUGAGAAGGGAAAGCAGCAAUGCGCUGAGAGAGGAGCCCGCGGCCGAUUAGCUAGUUGGUGAGGUAAAAGCCCACCAAGGCAGAGAUCGGUAGCCGGCCUGAGAGGGCACACGGCCACACUGGCACUGAAACACGGGCCAGACUCCUACGGGAGGCAGCAGUGGGGAAUCUUGCACAAUGGGGGAAACCCUGAUGCAGCGACGCCGCGUGAGCGAUGAAGCCCUUCGGGGUGUAAAGCUCUUUCGUCAGGGAAGAUCAUGACGGUACCUGGAGAAGCAGCUGCGGCUAACUACGUGCCAGCAGCCGCGGUAAUACGUAGGCAGCAAGCGUUGUUCGGAGUUACUGGGCGUAAAGGGUGUGUAGGCGGUUCUUUAAGUUUGGUGUGAAAUCUCCCGGCUCAACCGGGAGGGUGCGCCGAAUACUGAGGGACUAGAGUGUGGGAGAGGAAAGUGGAAUUCCUGGUGUAGCGGUGAAAUGCGUAGAUAUCAGGAGGAACAC
This 624-nucleotide ribosomal RNA is filed under the name metal-contaminated soil clone K20-46. Its description in RNAcentral is "bacterial SSU rRNA". It matches the Rfam family "Bacterial small subunit ribosomal RNA", at positions 53 to 709 of the family's 1533-position model. Lineage: Bacteria; Pseudomonadati; Acidobacteriota. The record is from RNAcentral.